AAACUUUCAACAACGGAUCUCUUGGUUCUGGCAUCGAUGAAGAACGCAGCGAAAUGCGAUAAGUAAUGUGAAUUGCAGAAUUCAGUGAAUCAUCGAAUCUUUGAACGCACAUUGCGCCCGCCAGAAUUCUGGCGGGCAUGCCUGUUCGAGCGUCA
Molecule: ribosomal RNA, 155 nt
Filed under: Acremonium sp. H217
Lineage: Eukaryota; Fungi; Ascomycota; Sordariomycetes; Hypocreales; Bionectriaceae
Description: 5.8S ribosomal RNA
Rfam family: 5.8S ribosomal RNA
About the family: 5.8S ribosomal RNA (5.8S rRNA) is a component of the large subunit of the eukaryotic ribosome.
Source: RNAcentral